AAAAUAACAAUGAUUUCCCUAGUAACGGCGAGUGAACAGGAAAAAGCUCAAAGUUGGAACCUGUUUGGCCUAGCUAAACCGGAUUGUAAACUGUAGAAGUGUUUUCCAGGCAAGCCGGACCGAUAAGUCCUUUGGAACAGGGCAUCAUAGAGGGUGAGAAUCCCGUCUUCGGUCUGAGCAUUUGCCUUUUGCGAUACACUUUCAAAGAGUCAGGUUGUUUGGGAAUGCAGCCUAAAUUGGGUGGUAAAUCUCACCUAAAGCUAAAUAUUGGCGAGAAACCGAUAGCGAACAAGUACCGUGAGGGAAAGAUGAAAAGAACUUUGAAAAGAGAGUUAAACAGUAUGUGAAAUUGUUAAAAGGGAACCGUUUGGAGCCAGACUGGCUUGUCUGUAAUCAGUCUAAGUUUCGGCUUGGAUGCACUUGCAGGCUAUGCCUGCCAACGACAAUUUGGCUUGAGGGAAAAAACUAGGGGAAAUGUGGCCCAUUCGUGGGUGUUAUAGUCCCUUAGAAAAUACCUUGGGCUGGAUUGAGGUACGCAGCGAAUGCUAUUUGGCGAGUUGGCUGGGAAUAUUUUCUGAGGUGCUCUGGUACUGAGGUUGAUAUUCCUAGUUACACUUCUAUUCGCUUAGGUUGUUGGCUUAAUGACUCUAAAUGAC
This 656-nucleotide ribosomal RNA is filed under the name Rhizopus microsporus var. microsporus. Its description in RNAcentral is "eukaryotic LSU rRNA". It matches the Rfam family "Eukaryotic large subunit ribosomal RNA", at positions 62 to 648 of the family's 3401-position model. Lineage: Eukaryota; Fungi; Mucoromycota; Mucoromycetes; Mucorales; Rhizopodaceae. The record is from RNAcentral.